This 253-nucleotide ribosomal RNA is filed under the name uncultured bacterium. Its description in RNAcentral is "partial 16S ribosomal RNA". It matches the Rfam family "Bacterial small subunit ribosomal RNA", at positions 524 to 776 of the family's 1533-position model. The record is from RNAcentral.
UACGAAGGGGGCAAGCGUUGUUCGGAAUUACUGGGCGUAAAGGGCUCGUAGGCGGCCAACUAAGUCACACGUGAAAUCCCCAGGCUCAACCUGGGAACUGCGUGUGAUACUGGAUGGCUUGAAUUCGGGAGAGGGAUGCAGAAUUCCAGGUGUAGCGGUGAAAUGCGUAGAUAUCUGGAGGAACACCGGUGGCGAAGGCGGCACCCUGGACCAAUACUGACGCUGAGGAGCGAAAGCCAGGGGAGCAAACAGG